This 45-nucleotide non-coding RNA is filed under the name Schistosoma mansoni. The record is from RNAcentral. Lineage: Eukaryota; Metazoa; Platyhelminthes; Trematoda; Strigeidida; Schistosomatidae.
AUCCAGCUAACGAGUCCCAAAUAUGACGAAACGCGUGUCCUGGAU